This 468-nucleotide ribosomal RNA is filed under the name uncultured bacterium. RNAcentral describes it as "partial 16S ribosomal RNA". It matches the Rfam family "Bacterial small subunit ribosomal RNA", at positions 28 to 507 of the family's 1533-position model. The record is from RNAcentral.
GACGAACGCUGGCGGCGUGCUUAACACAUGCAAGUCGAACGGAAAGGCCCUGCUUUUGUGGGGUGCUCGAGUGGCGAACGGGUGAGUAACACGUGAGUAACCUGCCCUUGACUUUGGGAUAACUUCAGGAAACUGGGGCUCAUACCGGAUAGGAGCUCCUGCUGCAUGGUGGGGGUUGGAAAGUUUCGGCGGUUGGGGAUGGACUCGCGGCUUAUCAGCUUGAUGGUGGGGUAGUGGCUUACGAAGGCUUUGACGGGUAGCCGGCCUGGGAGGGUGACCGGCCACAUGGGGACUGCGGUAGGGCCCAGACUCCAACGGGACGCAGCAGUGGGGAAUCUUGCACAAUGGGCGGAAGCCUGAUGCAGCAACGCCGCGUGCGGGAUGACGGCCUUCGGGUUGUAAACCGAUUUCGCAUGUGACGAAGCGUGAGUGACGGUAAUGGGUAAAGAAGCACCGGCUAACUACGUG